RNAcentral lists this ribosomal RNA (467 nucleotides) under uncultured bacterium. RNAcentral describes it as "partial 16S ribosomal RNA". It matches the Rfam family "Bacterial small subunit ribosomal RNA", at positions 28 to 507 of the family's 1533-position model. The record is from RNAcentral.
GACGAACGCUGGCGGCGUGCUUAACACAUGCAAGUCGAACGGAAAGGCCUCUUUCGGGGGGUACUCGAGUGGCGAACGGGUGAGUAACACGUGAGUAACCUGCCCUUGACUUUGGGAUAACUUCAGGAAACUGGGGCUAAUACCGGAUAGGAGCUCCUGCUGCAUGGUGGGGGUUGGAAAGUUUCGGCGGUUGGGGAUGGACUCGCGGCUUAUCAGCUUGUUGGUGGGGUAGUGGCUUACCAAGGCUUUGACGGGUAGCCGGCCUGAGAGGGUGACCGGCCACAUUGGGACUGAGAGACGGCCCAGACUCCUACGGGAGGCAGCAGGGGGGAAUAUUGCACAAGGGGUGGAAGCCUGAUGCAGCAACGCCGUGUGCGGGAUGACGGCCUUCGGGUUGUAAACCGCUUUCGCUCAUGACGAAGCUUUGUGUGACGGUAGUGGGUAAAGAAGCACCGGCUAACUACGUG